Molecule: ribosomal RNA, 564 nt
Filed under: Vibrio vulnificus
Lineage: Bacteria; Pseudomonadati; Pseudomonadota; Gammaproteobacteria; Vibrionales; Vibrionaceae
Description: partial 23S ribosomal RNA
Rfam family: Bacterial large subunit ribosomal RNA
Source: RNAcentral
GUUCGAGCAGGUGCGAAAGCAGGUCAUAGUGAUCCGGUGGUUCUGAAUGGAAGGGCCAUCGCUCAACGGAUAAAAGGUACUCCGGGGAUAACAGGCUGAUACCGCCCAAGAGUUCAUAUCGACGGCGGUGUUUGGCACCUCGAUGUCGGCUCAUCACAUCCUGGGGCUGAAGUCGGUCCCAAGGGUAUGGCUGUUCGCCAUUUAAAGUGGUACGCGAGCUGGGUUUAGAACGUCGUGAGACAGUUCGGUCCCUAUCUGCCGUGGGCGUUGGAAGAUUGAAGGGGGCUGCUCCUAGUACGAGAGGACCGGAGUGGACGAACCUCUGGUGUUCGGGUUGUGUCGCCAGACGCAUUGCCCGGUAGCUAAGUUCGGAAUCGAUAACCGCUGAAAGCAUCUAAGCGGGAAGCGAGCCCUGAGAUGAGUCUUCCCUGGUACUUUAAGUAUCCUAAAGGGUUGUUCGAGACUAGAACGUUGAUAGGCAGGGUGUGUAAGCGCUGUGAGGCGUUGAGCUAACCUGUACUAAUUGCCCGUGAGGCUUAACCAUACAACACCCAAAGGGUUUUG